This 427-nucleotide ribosomal RNA is filed under the name uncultured bacterium. RNAcentral's name for it is "partial 16S ribosomal RNA". It matches the Rfam family "Bacterial small subunit ribosomal RNA", at positions 355 to 774 of the family's 1533-position model. The record is from RNAcentral.
UGGGGAAUAUUGCACAAUGGGCGCAAGCCUGAUGCAGCCAUGCCGCGUGUAUGAAGAAGGCCUUCGGGUUGUAAAGUACUUUCAGCGGGGAGGAAGGGAGUAAAGUUAAUACCUUUGCUCAUUGACGUUACCCGCAGAAGAAGCACCGGCUAACUCCGUGCCAGCAGCCGCGGUAAUACGGAGGGUGCAAGCGUUAAUCGGAAUUACUGGGCGUAAAGCGCACGCAGGCGGUUUGUUAAGUCAGAUGUGAAAUCCCCGGGCUCAACCUGGGAACUGCAUCUGAUACUGGCAAGCUUGAGUCUCGUAGAGGGGGGUAGAAUUCCAGGUGUAGCGGUGAAAUGCGUAGAGAUCUGGAGGAAUACCGGUGGCGAAGGCGGCCCCCUGGACGAAGACUGUCGCUCAGGUGCGAAAGCGUGGGGAGCAAACA